This 380-nucleotide ribosomal RNA is filed under the name uncultured eukaryote. RNAcentral's name for it is "SSU rRNA". It matches the Rfam family "Eukaryotic small subunit ribosomal RNA", at positions 587 to 969 of the family's 1831-position model. The record is from RNAcentral.
AGCUCCAAUAGCGUAUAUUAAAGUUGUUGCGGUUAAAAAGCUCGUAGUUGGAUCUCGGCGGGUAGGGGGUGGUUCAUUAUCUGAUGUUACUGCCCCAUUAUCCGUGUUUCUGACGGAGGUUUGUGGGUGUUCUUUACCGAGUGUCCACAGGCACCGUCAACUUUACUUUGAAAAAAUUAGAGUGCUCAAAGCAGGCUUUUAAGCUUGAAUAUUCGUGCAUGGAAUAAUGGAAUAGGAAGUCGUUUCUAUUUUGUUGGUUUUCGGAAAUUGACUUAAUGAUUAAUAGGGACAGCCGGGGGCAUUAGUAUUCGGACGACAGAGGUGAAAUUCUUGGACCGUCUGAAGACUAACUACUGCGAAAGCAUUUGCCAAGAGUGUUU